This 579-nucleotide ribosomal RNA is filed under the name uncultured Lachnospiraceae bacterium. RNAcentral describes it as "bacterial SSU rRNA". It matches the Rfam family "Bacterial small subunit ribosomal RNA", at positions 73 to 664 of the family's 1533-position model. Lineage: Bacteria; Bacillati; Bacillota; Clostridia; Lachnospirales; Lachnospiraceae. The record is from RNAcentral.
UUCUUCGGAUGAAGGUUUUUGUGACUGAGUGGCGGACGGGUGAGUAACGCGUGGGUAACCUGCCUCAUACAGGGGGAUAACAGUUAGAAAUGACUGCUAAUACCGCAUAAGACCACGGAGCUGCAUGGCUCAGUGGGAAAAACUCCGGUGGUAUGAGAUGGACCCGCGUCUGAUUAGGUAGUUGGUGGGGUAACGGCCUACCAAGCCAACGAUCAGUAGCCGACCUGAGAGGGUGACCGGCCACAUUGGGACUGAGACACGGCCCAAACUCCUACGGGAGGCAGCAGUGGGGAAUAUUGCACAAUGGGGGAAACCCUGAUGCAGCGACGCCGCGUGAGCGAAGAAGUAUUUCGGUAUGUAAAGCUCUAUCAGCAGGGAAGAAAAUGACGGUACCUGACUAAGAAGCACCGGCUAAAUACGUGCCAGCAGCCGCGGUAAUACGUAUGGUGCAAGCGUUAUCCGGAUUUACUGGGUGUAAAGGGAGCGUAGACGGCUGUGUAAGUCUGAAGUGAAAGCCCGGGGCUCAACCCCGGGACUGCUUUGGAAACUAUGCAGCUAGAGUGUCGGAGAGGUAAGUGG